AGUGUCUCCUUGUGGAGCUCAAGGAUGUGCUUCCACAUAGCAGUUU
RNAcentral lists this microRNA precursor (46 nucleotides) under Pan troglodytes (chimpanzee). RNAcentral describes it as "miRNA". Lineage: Eukaryota; Metazoa; Chordata; Mammalia; Primates; Hominidae. The record is from RNAcentral.